GAUGAAGAACGUAGCGAAAUGCGAUAAGUAAUGUGAAUUGCAGAAUUCAGUGAAUCAUCGUAUCUUUGAACGCACAUUGCGCCCGCCAGUAUUCUGGCGGGCAUGCCUGUUCGAGCGUCAUUUCAACCAUCAAGCCCCCGGCUUGUGUUGGGGACCUGCGGCUGCCGCAGGCCCUGAAAAGCAGUGGCGGGCUCGCUGUCACACCGAGCGUAGUAGCAUACAUCUCGCUCUGGGCGUGCUGCGGGUUCCGGCCGUUAAACCACCUUCAUAACCCAAGGUUGACCUCGGAUCAGGUAGGAAGACCCGCUGAACUUAAGCAUAUCAAUAAGCGGAGGA
RNAcentral lists this unclassified non-coding RNA (336 nucleotides) under soil metagenome. RNAcentral describes it as "partial contains 5.8S ribosomal RNA, internal transcribed spacer 2, and large subunit ribosomal RNA". The stretch from base 1 to 120 matches the Rfam family "5.8S ribosomal RNA", at positions 35 to 154 of the family's 154-position model. The record is from RNAcentral.